GUUCCACCCCGACCCGAGCGCGAGCCUGGGGCUUCAAUUAGCUUACUGGCCGCUACCUGAGCCCAGGUGGGGGCAAUAUAAGUACUGUUCCGGAGGACAAGUACACAUCACUCCACUGCCUCCUUCCGCAACACACCUUUUCGUGAACUUUCUACUUCCCGAACCUGCCCAGCAGGAUGCGAAGGCCACCCCAAUGUCACCGGGGCUUAUUGUCAGGCUAUCUGGUCAGUCUGGCUGCCCCCCAGGCUUGCCAAGUGUAGAGACUGCUGGUAGCCUUAGCACCCAACCCACGGGAGGUCAUGGGGAUAAAGAAGACAGGAAAAAGGACUGAAAAGGACCAGCCAGCACAAUAGGAGGAGCUCAGUUUUGAGUAACACAAGUUAGAGGCAGCUGACCUUCACAUGACCAAGGGUCGGGAGAUGUUAUGAGGAGGUUCCCUUGAGUCUGGUGAUUAGCCUCUGAAGAGGGGACCUGCCGUUCAAAGGCCAAGACUUCAGGACAUUGCCCAGGCCCUGGAAACACUAACA
Molecule: long non-coding RNA, 527 nt
Organism: Aethalodelphis obliquidens (Pacific white-sided dolphin)
Lineage: Eukaryota; Metazoa; Chordata; Mammalia; Artiodactyla; Delphinidae
Exons: 3
Source: RefSeq, a predicted model, not a curated record